This 253-nucleotide ribosomal RNA is filed under the name uncultured bacterium. RNAcentral's name for it is "partial 16S ribosomal RNA". It matches the Rfam family "Bacterial small subunit ribosomal RNA", at positions 524 to 776 of the family's 1533-position model. The record is from RNAcentral.
GACGAAGGGGGCAAGCGUUGUUCGGAAUUACUGGGCGUAAAGGGCGCGUAGGCGGCUCUGUAAGUCAGGCGUGAAAGCCCUGGGCUCAACCUGGGAAUGGCGCUUGAUACUGGAGGGCUAGAGAGCGGGAGAGGAUGGUGGAAUUCCCAGUGUAGAGGUGAAAUUCGUAGAUAUUGGGAAGAACACCGGUGGCGAAGGCGGCCAUCUGGACCGUAUCUGACUCUGAGGCGCGAAAGCGUGGGGAGCAAACAGG